CCAAACCAUUUGUAAACAACUCACUCUAAAGGAGUGUGGAAGUAGGAGAUAACAGGGGUCCAUAGACAUUACCUACUUAGUCAUAAAUGAGGAAUUGUUACAAGAUAUUUUAAGAGAGAUUGAAUCCCGUGACACAAAUCUUAGCUUAAUCACCCAUGGAUUUUCUCCACUUAUCAUAAGGGCGGUCAUUGAUAUUCUCAUUGAGAUUAUUACCUUCCAUGAGGCUUAAACCAAGCAAAACUGCUGUUCUGUAAUAAUGUAAUUUCUGGUAUUUUAAUGUGUCUUUCCCACAAUUUUAAGAUAUAUAACUAAUAAAUGAAUGGCAAAAA
This is a long non-coding RNA of Penaeus vannamei (Pacific white shrimp), 329 nucleotides long. RefSeq lists it as uncharacterized. Lineage: Eukaryota; Metazoa; Arthropoda; Malacostraca; Decapoda; Penaeidae. The record is from RefSeq and is a predicted model, not a curated record.